CACGUGGGUGGCGAGCGUUAUUCGGAUUUACUGGGCGUAAAGGGUCCGCAGGGGGCCUGCCACGCCCGCCGUGAAAUUUCAGGGCUCAACCCUGAACCUGCGGCGGGCACGGGCGGGCUGGAGUGCAGGAUGGGCAGACGGAAUUCCAGGUGUAGCGGUGGAAUGCGUAGAUAUCUGGAGGAACACCGAUGGCGAAGGCGGUCUGCUGGCCUGCAACUGACCCUCAUGGACGAGAGCGUGGGUAGCAAACAGGAUUAGAUACCCUGGUAGUCCACGCCGUAAACGUUGUGUGCCAGAUGCGGGCGGGUUCGGCCCCGUCCGCGUCCCAGCUAACGCGAUAAGCACACCGCCUGGGGACUACGGCCGCAAGGCUAAAACUCAAAGGAAUUGACGGGGGCCCGCACAAGCGGUGGAGCAUGUUGCUUAAUUCGAGGCGACGCGAAGAACCUUACCCAGGUUUGACAUGCUUUCGGCCGGCGUUGAAAGACGCCCUUCCCUCGGGACGGAAGCACAGAUGCUGCAUGGCU
RNAcentral lists this ribosomal RNA (527 nucleotides) under uncultured bacterium. RNAcentral's name for it is "bacterial SSU rRNA". It matches the Rfam family "Bacterial small subunit ribosomal RNA", at positions 524 to 1050 of the family's 1533-position model. The record is from RNAcentral.